Molecule: non-coding RNA, 394 nt
Organism: Schizosaccharomyces pombe (fission yeast)
Lineage: Eukaryota; Fungi; Ascomycota; Schizosaccharomycetes; Schizosaccharomycetales; Schizosaccharomycetaceae
Source: the annotation of a GenBank genome assembly
UUGAUGAUCCAAAAAGGAGGAGUUAUGCAAGAACGGUGCUUGUUAAUAACCUCCAUUAAAAAAGAAAUUUACAAAAAUUAUUGUUUGGACGCCUUUUUCUGAGCCGCCGAAAUGGCAUUCUGCAUAAAUUGAGGGUUAAUUGCUAGCGACGGAUUUGCCCUUAUUUGUGGAUUGUUCUCAACAACAUCUUUAAUUAAGAGCAUAUCAGAAGGAGUUAAAGCAUUAAUAAUACUUUCGAGAGACGGGUAGGAAUGAACUGGAUUAGUAGGUGUACCAGAAGCAGACUGAUAUGUAGAUGGAAUACCAUUUGUGGAAGUAGUGAUAGGAGUGGCUCUUUCUACUGAUUCAUGACGAGAGGAGCUUUUAUUAAGAACAAAUAAGCCCAUGAAAUACU